This 76-nucleotide transfer RNA is filed under the name Mycolicibacterium alvei. RNAcentral's name for it is "tRNA-His". It matches the Rfam family "tRNA". From Rfam's summary of the family: Transfer RNA (tRNA) molecules are approximately 80 nucleotides in length. Their secondary structure includes four short double-helical elements and three loops (D, anti-codon, and T loops). Further hydrogen bonds mediate the characteristic L-shaped molecular structure. tRNAs have two regions of fundamental functional importance: the anti-codon, which is responsible for specific mRNA codon recognition, and the 3' end, to which the tRNAs corresponding amino acid is attached (by aminoacyl-tRNA synthetases). tRNAs cope with the degeneracy of the genetic code in two manners: having more than one tRNA (with a specific anti-codon) for a particular amino acid; and 'wobble' base-pairing, i.e. permitting non-standard base-pairing at the 3rd anti-codon position. Lineage: Bacteria; Bacillati; Actinomycetota; Actinomycetes; Mycobacteriales; Mycobacteriaceae. The record is from RNAcentral.
GUGGCGGUAGCUCAACGGGCAGAGCACCGGGCUGUGAUCCCGGCGGCUGCGGGUUCGAAUCCCGCCCGUCACCCCA